RNAcentral lists this ribosomal RNA (492 nucleotides) under uncultured bacterium. RNAcentral describes it as "partial 16S ribosomal RNA". It matches the Rfam family "Bacterial small subunit ribosomal RNA", at positions 29 to 507 of the family's 1533-position model. The record is from RNAcentral.
AGUGAACGCUGGCGGUAGGCCUAACACAUGCAAGUCGAACGGCAGCACAGUAAGAGCUUGCUCUUACGGGUGGCGAGUGGCGGACGGGUGAGGAAUACAUCGGAAUCUACUUUUUCGUGGGUGAUAACGUAGGGAAACUUACGCUAAUACCGCAUACGACCUACGGGUGAAAGCAGUGGAUCUUCGGACCUUUCGCGAUUGAAUGAGCCGAUGUCGGAUUAGCUAGUUGGCGGGGUAAAGGCCCACCAAGGCGACGAUCCGUAGCUGGUCUGAGAGGAUGAUCAGCCACACUGGAACUGAGACACGGACCAGACGACUACGGGAGGCAGCAGUGGGGAAUAUUGGACAAUGGGCGCAAGCCUGAUCCAGCCAUACCGCGUGGGUGAAGAAGGCCUUCGGGUUGUAAAGACCUUUUGUUGGGAAAGAAAAGCAGCAGGUUAAUACCCCGCUGUUCUGACGGUACCCAAAGAAUAAGCACCGGCUAACUUCGUG